Molecule: long non-coding RNA, 352 nt
Filed under: Dasypus novemcinctus (nine-banded armadillo)
Lineage: Eukaryota; Metazoa; Chordata; Mammalia; Cingulata; Dasypodidae
Description: lncRNA (ENSDNOG00000052696.1)
Source: RNAcentral
CCUAGCUAGAGGGUUCUGGAGUCUGAAAUCCCUGGUUUUGGGCCAGUCCCAUCAGGAGGGUCUCUUGGCACCACUCAGACCAGACUCCUGAGUGCACAGAUGGGAUAACAAGUGCCAGGCCCGAGCCGCUGCCAGCUUGACUGUGUUCCCUUCUCCUGGUCUGGCUGAGAGCAGCAGAGACGCCUGGGGGCAGCCACCCAUUCUGUGCCAGUCCCCUUGCUGGGCCCUGGGGCAGAAGACUCACAUGAGACCCUGCCCCUUCCUAGCUCACAGUCUGCCCAGGGAACGGGUGAGUAUAAUCUAGUGUGCAGGAGCUCCAGGGGAGCUCAGAGGCCCGUGGGAGCAGUGGAGA